RNAcentral lists this ribosomal RNA (253 nucleotides) under uncultured bacterium. RNAcentral describes it as "partial 16S ribosomal RNA". It matches the Rfam family "Bacterial small subunit ribosomal RNA", at positions 524 to 776 of the family's 1533-position model. The record is from RNAcentral.
UACGGAGGGAGCUAGCGUUGUUCGGAAUUAUUGGGCGUAAAGAGCUCGUAGGCGGCUUGUCACGUCGGGUGUGAAAGCCCGGGGCUUAACCCCGGGUCUGCAUUCGAUACGGGCUAGCUAGAGUGUGGUAGGGGAGAUCGGAAUUCCUGGUGUAGCGGUGAAAUGCGCAGAUAUCAGGAGGAACACCGGUGGCGAAGGCGGAUCUCUGGGCCAUUACUGACGCUGAGGAGCGAAAGCGUGGGGAGCGAACAGG